Molecule: non-coding RNA, 477 nt
Organism: Alexandromys fortis (reed vole)
Lineage: Eukaryota; Metazoa; Chordata; Mammalia; Rodentia; Cricetidae
Source: the annotation of a RefSeq genome assembly
GUUUCAAUAAGGUCCUGAGGAGACUUGCCUGUGAGUUUGGUGAACUCAAGAACAAAGUGUCAUUUGAUUUCUAUGAAAAUGCUUCCUGACACCUGCGCAGUCCUGGUGCUCCUAUUAAUGCUAGGGAAGAGCAAUGGAGACUCAGUGACCCAGACAGAAGGCCUGGUUACUGUCACAGAGGGGUCACCUGUGUUGCUGAAUUGCACAUAUCAGACUACUUACUCAAAUUCUUACUUUUGGUGGUAUGUGCAAUAUCUCAACAAAGCCCCUAGGCUACUCCUGAGAGGCAUCACAGACAACAAGCGGACAGAAUACCAAGGGUUCCACGCCACUCUCCAUAAGAGCAACAGCUCCUUCCACCUACAGAAGUCCUCAGCGCAGCUGUCAGACUCUGCCCUGUACUACUGUGCUGUGAGUGACACAGUGAGGGAGACUGUAGGGGAAGCUGCACACAAACCAAGGGUGCAGGAGGGCUGA